Molecule: transfer RNA, 78 nt
Filed under: Peribacillus faecalis
Lineage: Bacteria; Bacillati; Bacillota; Bacilli; Caryophanales; Bacillaceae
Description: tRNA-Asp
Rfam family: tRNA
About the family: Transfer RNA (tRNA) molecules are approximately 80 nucleotides in length.
Source: RNAcentral
GGUCCGGUAGUUCAGUCUGGUUAGAAUGCCUGCCUGUCACGCAGGAGGUCGCGGGUUCGAGUCCCGUCCGGACCGCCA